GACGAACGCUGGCGGCGUGCCUAAUACAUGCAAGUAGAACGCUGAAGAGAGGAGCUUGCUCUUCUUGGAUGAGUUGCGAACGGGUGAGUAACGCGUAGGUAACCUGCCUGGUAGCGGGGGAUAACUAUUGGAAACGAUAGCUAAUACCGCAUAACAACAGUUGUUGCAUGACAGCUGUUUAAAAGAUGCAAUUGCAUCACUACCAGAUGGACCUGCGUUGUAUUAGCUAGUUGGUGAGGUAACGGCUCACCAAGGCGACGAUACAUAGCCGACCUGAGAGGGUGAUCGGCCACACUGGGACUGAGACACGGCCCAGACUCCUACGGGAGGCAGCAGUAGGGAAGCUUCGGCAAUGGGGGGAACCCUGACCGAGCAACGCCGCGUGAGUGAAGAAGGUUUUCGGAUCGUAAAGCUCGGUUGUAAGAGAAGAACGGGUGUGAGAGUGGAAAGUUCACACUGUGACGGUAGCUUACCAGAAAGGGACGGCUAACUACGUG
This 497-nucleotide ribosomal RNA is filed under the name uncultured bacterium. Its description in RNAcentral is "partial 16S ribosomal RNA". It matches the Rfam family "Bacterial small subunit ribosomal RNA", at positions 28 to 507 of the family's 1533-position model. The record is from RNAcentral.